This 491-nucleotide ribosomal RNA is filed under the name uncultured bacterium. RNAcentral's name for it is "partial 16S ribosomal RNA". It matches the Rfam family "Bacterial small subunit ribosomal RNA", at positions 29 to 507 of the family's 1533-position model. The record is from RNAcentral.
AGUGAACGCUGGCGGUAGGCCUAACACAUGCAAGUCGAACGGCAGCACAGUAAGAGCUUGCUCUUACGGGUGGCGAGUGGCGGACGGGUGAGGAAUACAUCGGAAGCUACUUUUUCGUGGGGAUAACGUAGGGAAACUUACGCUAAUACCGCAUACGACCUACGGGUGAAAGCAGGGGAUCUUCGGACCUUGCGCGAUUGAAUGAGCCGAUGUCGGAUUAGCUAGUUGGCGGGGUAAAGGCCCACCAAGGCGACGAUCCGUAGCUGGUCUGAGAGGAUGAUCAGCCACACUGGAACUGAGACACGGUCCAGACUCCUACGGGAGGCAGCAGUGGGGAAUAUUGGACAAUGGGCGCAAGCCUGAUCCAGCCAUACUGCGUGGGUGAAGAAGGCCUUCGGGUUGUAAAGCCCUUUUGUUGGGAAAGAAAAGCAGCAGGUUAAUACCCCGCUGUUCUGACGGUACCCAAAGAAUAAGCACCGGCUAACUUCGUG